RNA transcript from Sorghum bicolor (sorghum), 2300 nucleotides. It is a transcript of the gene named muscle M-line assembly protein unc-89, with no coding region annotated. The transcript has 9 exons. NCBI's taxonomy places the organism in Eukaryota, Viridiplantae, Streptophyta, Magnoliopsida, Poales, Poaceae. The record is from RefSeq and is a predicted model, not a curated record.
AAUCCCCUCCAAUCCAACGCAACGCCGCCGCUCCAACGGCUAGUUGCCCAGGCUGCCGAGUGCCGACCGUCCACGAUCUCAAAUUCAUCCAUCACCCGCGCCACCAGGCAUCGUCUCGGCCCAAGCACCACCGGCACCUCGACACCGCCCGCCGCCGCGCCAGUGAGCUCAGCUGCCAGCUCGAUCGCCCGCCAGCGGACACCGUCGAGGAUCCAGAAAACUCCAUGGGUAUCCCGUCGAGGCACCCGGACCACGAGGAGGAGGAGGAGUACGACGAUGCCUUGUUCUACGAGGACAUCCAGGCGCCCAAGUUCGUCGACCUCACCGCGCCCGACGCCGGCCGCCCCGACGACGACCCCGCCUGGUUCUGCAUCCGAGUCGGUUGCGACCAGAACCAUGAGCAGGUCGAUCCGGAGGCCCUGGACAGGAGCUUCUUUAUGCGGGUCAUGGCGGCGAGAAGCCCCAACGUGCGGCUACAGAAGGCUAUCAGCAGGAAGAACCAGAGCUCGAUGAUGAAAUGCCCGCAAUCUGCGCCGCCGAAGCCUCCGAGGGCUCGGUUCGCGAGGCUGAGCGCGGACACGGAGGCUGCGGAGAAGGCGCCGGCAAAGCCCAAGCCAAUGGUCCAGCGGAUCUGCGCCCUGCGAGCGUCCCCAGUCCGUACCAAGGCUGCGCGGGUCGAAUGUCCCAGCGAGAGGAAGAAGGCACUGACGACGCCGCGGAGCAAGCCCGUCCGGCCGAGGCCGGAGCUGUUCCACAGCGUGAAGCACCAGAAGGAGCCGUUCGCUGCUGCAGCCAGAAAGGGGACGGUCGUCAAGGCUCUGUUCAUGAGCACGCCAAAGAAGGAGCCGGUCCGAACGCCGGCGGCAGACAAGGGCAAGGAGGCGGUGUCCGAGGCCGGUUCCAAGCCGAGGAAGCUGAACUUGGCCUGCCGGGAGGUGCCGAGCAGGUACAUGUCUCAGCUGAAGAAUCCCAAGACUCCCAAGAAGGGUGAAGAGACCACGGUGGCCAAGAGCGAGAAGAGGGGACAAGAAUCCAAGACGAAUGUCAAGAAGAAAAUUUUAGGACGCUCGGCGAAGUGUGCUAGUGCCGAACAUGAUGGAGAGAACCGAAAUGGUUGCAGCAGCACUGCAGCAGACGAGAACUCACUUGCAGAAACUGCUAGCUCCAAUCAGGAAAGGAAUGUGGUGCUGCAGGAAUUGAGAAUUGAGGUUGAUACAUCGCGAUCUGACAAUUCUGAUGACAACAAGGAGAAUCUGUCGACUGCUGCUCCGAGUGAAGAAUCAAUGAACAAUUCGCAUUCUGAAAGUGAAAACAGACAGUUGGAGAACAACGAGAAUGUUCCUCUGAAGAAAAAUGUUGCUCUGAAGGUGGCUAAAUUGCAGAGCAAAGUGCAUCAAGAGCAAGCAGGAAAGCUCAAGAAAACUACCAAUCCUAGGCCAUUCAGGCUAAGGACUGAUGAAAGAGGUGUCCUUAAAGAAGCAAAACCAGAAAAAAGGCACCCGUUCGCUGAGAACAACUCCAUGGCAGUACUCAAGGAUCCAAACAGAGGACCAACGACAAUGGACAAACACAUCCACGGCAAGGGACUAGACAAGCCGACCUGCGGCAAGAAACAGAUGAAGCAAAGCACCCAGAUUGUAACGGGUCAGCAACAGCUAGUUGGUGAGUCCAGGCCCGCCUUCAACAGCACCAAAUGCAAAGCUGUGAAACCGCAGACAGUUUCUAGGGUUGCUGCAUCAUCAUCAGCACGAACAGCCAAAACAGCAAGGUUUGCAGGACUCUUUCUUGAGCUCAAACAGUCUUAACUUUCCGUUCCACCCCUGACAGGUCAUAUAUGUUGCUGUCCACCGCGUCACGCCUGACCAGGGGUGAAGUGGCCUUGUGGCACCUUCCCGGGUUGGCAAGGAGAGGAAGGCUACCGUGAAACUGUCGAGGUUUCAAACAACAGUUGCUUGAGUUCGUGCAUGAUCAGGGGAGAAAAGGAGAACAGGAGACUGUUGACAAUGGUUUUAUUGUCUGCUCCAAGCCUCCAACGACGUGUUCUAUAUUUACGCCGUCGAUAUUCGUUUCUGGAUUUUGUUGACUUAUGUACACUGACCAUUUCUUUCCGUGAAUCAUGUGGUGGAAUUCUUCUACUUUGUUACUGUAUACCACCACCAACCAACAAAGGUGUCAAGAUUCUUUCUGUAAAAUGUUUCGGAAUUGAUUCUUUCUGUCACUUAAACUGGGGAAGGAGGCCCAGCCCAUGAGACAUUUUAAUUCAGCUGUGUCAUGUGUGGACUAGGAGCCAUUUUAUCUCA